Molecule: transfer RNA, 87 nt
Filed under: Synergistetes bacterium ADurb.Bin520
Lineage: Bacteria; Thermotogati; Synergistota
Also listed under: 1 other name
Description: tRNA-Leu
Rfam family: tRNA
About the family: Transfer RNA (tRNA) molecules are approximately 80 nucleotides in length. Their secondary structure includes four short double-helical elements and three loops (D, anti-codon, and T loops). Further hydrogen bonds mediate the characteristic L-shaped molecular structure. tRNAs have two regions of fundamental functional importance: the anti-codon, which is responsible for specific mRNA codon recognition, and the 3' end, to which the tRNAs corresponding amino acid is attached (by aminoacyl-tRNA synthetases). tRNAs cope with the degeneracy of the genetic code in two manners: having more than one tRNA (with a specific anti-codon) for a particular amino acid; and 'wobble' base-pairing, i.e. permitting non-standard base-pairing at the 3rd anti-codon position.
Source: RNAcentral
GCCGGGCUGGCGGAAUGGUAGACGCAUGGGACUUAAAAUCCCUUGGGCCCAUGGCCCGUGCGGGUUCGACUCCCGCGCCCGGCACCA